Molecule: ribosomal RNA, 822 nt
Filed under: Pseudocyphellaria pilosella
Lineage: Eukaryota; Fungi; Ascomycota; Lecanoromycetes; Peltigerales; Lobariaceae
Description: LSU rRNA
Rfam family: Eukaryotic large subunit ribosomal RNA
Source: RNAcentral
CAGGGAUUGCCUCAGUAACGGCGAGUGAAGCGGCAACAGCUCAAAUUUGAAAUCUGACCCCUUUGGGGCCCGAGUUGUAAUUUGUAGAGGGUGUUUCGGGCGCGGCGCCGGUCUAAGUUCCUUGGAACAGGACGUCACAGAGGGUGAGAAUCCCGUAUGUGACCGGCGAUCAAGCCCAUGUGAAGCCCCUUCGACGAGUCGAGUUGUUUGGGAAUGCAGCUCAAAAUGGGUGGUAAAUUUCAUCUAAAGCUAAAUAUUGGCCAGAGACCGAUAGCGGACAAGUAGAGUGAUCGAAAGAUGAAAAGCACUUUGGAAAGAGAGUCAAACAGUACGUGAAAUUGUUGAAAGGGAAGCGCUUGCAAUCAGACCGGUCCGGGGGCGAUCAGCCGCUGCUUGUCAGCGGUGCACUCGCCCUCGAUCCGGCCAGCAUCGGUUUGGGCGGCGGGAGAAAAGUCCCGGGAAUGUAGCUUCUCUCGGGGAGUCUUAUAGCCCGGGUCGACAUGCCGCCCGCCUGGACCGAGGACCGCGCUUCGGCUAGGAUGCUGGCGUAAUGGUUGCAAGCGACCCGUCUUGAAACACGGACCAAGGAGUCUAACAUCUAUGCGAGUGUUUGGGUGUCAAACCCGGGCGCGGAAUGAAAGUGAACGGAGGUGGGAACCCGUCAGACGGCGCACCAUCGACCGAUCCAGAUGUCUUCGGAUGGAUUUGAGUACGAGCAUAGCUGUUGGGACCCGAAAGAUGGUGAACUAUGNCCGGAUAGGGUGAAGCCAGAGGAAACUAUGGUGGAGGCUCGCAGCGGUUCUGACGUGCAAAUCGAUCGUC